Molecule: non-coding RNA, 74 nt
Organism: Myotis lucifugus (little brown bat)
Lineage: Eukaryota; Metazoa; Chordata; Mammalia; Chiroptera; Vespertilionidae
Source: Rfam
GGUGGUUCUCGGGUGACACACCCCAGAAUCAUGCUCCCUCCUCUGGUUCUGGGAUGUGUCACCCAAGAACCACA